This is a long non-coding RNA of Melanotaenia boesemani (Boeseman's rainbowfish), 95 nucleotides long. RefSeq lists it as uncharacterized. The transcript has 3 exons. Lineage: Eukaryota; Metazoa; Chordata; Actinopteri; Atheriniformes; Melanotaeniidae. The record is from RefSeq and is a predicted model, not a curated record.
UGCGGGUCUCUGAAGGUCCCACCACAGCAUCUCAGUCAGGACAAGGUCUGGACUGGAUCAUGUCAACACCCUGACUCUGUUCUUUUUCAUCAGUU